UGGGGAAUAUUGGACAAUGGGGGAAACCCUGAUCCAGCGACGCCGCGUGGGUGAAGAAGGCCUGCGGGUUGUAAAGCCCUUUCGGUGGGGAAGAAAAGCCUCAAGCUAAUACGUCGGGGUCUUGACGUAACCCACAAAAGAAGCACCGGCUAACUCUGUGCCAGCAGCCGCGGUAAUACAGAGGGUGCGAGCGUUAAUCGGAAUUACUGGGCGUAAAGCGCACGUAGGCGGCUCUGCAAGUCGGGUGUGAAAUCCCCGGGCUCAACCUGGGAACUGCAUUCGAUACUGCAUUGCUAGAGUAUGGGAGAGGGAAGUGGAAUUUCCGGUGUAGCGGUGAAAUGCGUAGAUAUCGGAAGGAACACCAGUGGCGAAAGCGACUUCCUGGACCAAUACUGACGCUCAGGUGCGAAAGCGUGGGGAGCAAACAGGAUUAGAUACCCUGGUAGUCCACGCCAUAAACGAUGAGAACUGGAUGUCGGGAGGGUUAGCCUCUCGGUGUCGUAGCUAACG
RNAcentral lists this ribosomal RNA (510 nucleotides) under uncultured Pseudomonadota bacterium. RNAcentral describes it as "bacterial SSU rRNA". It matches the Rfam family "Bacterial small subunit ribosomal RNA", at positions 355 to 857 of the family's 1533-position model. The record is from RNAcentral. Lineage: Bacteria; Pseudomonadati; Pseudomonadota.